UGUCAUCGCUUACACUAUUAUUUGUAGUC
RNAcentral lists this small RNA (29 nucleotides) under Bombyx mori (domestic silkworm). Its description in RNAcentral is "ovarian small RNA-35633". Lineage: Eukaryota; Metazoa; Arthropoda; Insecta; Lepidoptera; Bombycidae. The record is from RNAcentral.